RNAcentral lists this long non-coding RNA (243 nucleotides) under Homo sapiens (human). RNAcentral describes it as "non-protein coding lnc-CD63-6:1". The record is from RNAcentral. Lineage: Eukaryota; Metazoa; Chordata; Mammalia; Primates; Hominidae.
CUGGUGGGUCAUCCUCCUGGCUGUACUGGCUGGGCUGCUGGUGCUAGCACUGCUGGUGCUGCUCCUGUGGAAUGUGGCUUCUUCCAUCGGAGCAGCCAGAGCUCAUCUUUUCCCACCAACUAUCACCGGGCCUGUCUGGCUGUGCAGCCUUCAGCCAUGGAAGUUGGGGGUCCAGGGACUGUGGAUGGGAUUCUUCAAACGGGCGAAGCACCCCGAGGCCACCGUGCCCCAGUACCAUGCGGU